UCUCGCCUGGAGAGUGACACAGUACUUGAGAGGAUGGUUCCCCCAAACCCACAGCCCACUUUGAACUGAGUGACUUGCAUUUCCACUAUGUGGACUAACACUGCCUAUUCCCUGUAUCCAGGUUUAAUGGAAUCUACUAUUCCCCUCCUGGGCAAGGCUGGCCCAUAUCUUCCUGUUCUCGGAACACACCAGCUUUGGUCUGCCUGGAGCCUCUGGGGAGCCUCUCACCUAGAAUGCAAUCUGCACGGAAGCAAGCCCUCUGUUCCACCUGUUAGAGCUCCCGACGCUAUGCUAUGCUAGGUUCCCUUCAAAAUGAAGUGAGUUUUCCUGUUUGCAGAAGCUCAACUAGUGUUCCAAAUCUCAACGAAGCAGGGCCGAGGGUGGAGCCCAGGAUUGCUUGCAGUCUGAGCAUCUCUACCUCAGCCAAAACACUACCAGAGAAUCCUGCCUCCUAACACCCCAGCUUCUCUUGGCACACCACACCCUGGGGCAAGAAUGCAGCAGCAAGGGAAUGGACCAGUGCUUAAAUGGGGCCUGUCAUAGAUAAAGUGGAAAAGAGCACCGAAGGACGCAAAGCCUUGCAAGGGACCCAAUAGAGUAUUUGAUCUCGGACCAGAGCCCCACAGCCACCCCGCUGGAGCCCACCCCCAAGCCCCCUGGCCCAGCCCCGCGCGCACCAACCAGCCGCGUGCACUCAGCUUGCUCCGAAGCCUCGGUCGGCAAUUCUCCAGUCUUCUGGUCCUGAACUGCGUUUGCGACGCCAAGGCAACUAUUCUCACAGGAGCUGUGAUGUCAUAAAGCCCCGGAGGCGGGCCCGGGCACACUGGGCGGGCUGGCGGGCCGGCGGGCGCGGAGUACUGUGCAGGACUGUGGCAGCUAAAGAGCAGAAGACACGGACUCAGGGAAGGGACAACGACUAGAAGCAGAGCGAUCCGGGUUGUUGCAACCCUGCAACCCGGGGACAGGGUACGUUUGCCCAGCGCACUAGCUUCUUUCACCCCCAGAUUCUCCUGCCCAUCCGUAAAGGAUUUUGUUGCAGCUAGGGCACAGACAACAGCCUGGCUCUUCAGAGAAUAUUUAGGAGUCUUGGGGCCGGGGAGGACGACGGUAAAACAGUCUACAGGCUAGGAAUGUGCCAAAGACAGUCUCCCUUAGCUCCUGGCGCUACUCAGGGUCGCUGGCGCCACCCAGUGGGUGGAGAGAUAGAACCAAGGCAAGAAGGCCAGGGGUAGGAGUGUAGAAGGAUCCUGGAAUGGGUCAGGGACCCUUGAAUCACCAAAGGGACAGUAUCCCGCAGGGCAGUCCAGCGCUGGGCAUGGGGGAGCCAGGAAGAAAGGGUGGGCCCUGCAUAUGUGGUUUGUUGGUUUUGUUUGUUUGUUUGUUUGUUUGUUUGUUUGUUUGUUUUUUAUGCAGCUAGUGUUAAAUACUCUUUGCAAGCAAGUGGCUCCCUGCCUGGUGUUGGAGGAGGGCCCUUACACUGUGGUCUAGAAUUCCCAAUAUUCUGGCCUCAGCUUCCCAGUAGGCUGUCAAAAUAGCCAGACAAACUACAAAACAAAACAAAAAUAAUAGGAAGAAAGAAAGGAAGAAGAAAGAAGAAGGAAGAAGGAAAGAAAAAGAGAGAAAGAGAGAAGGAAGGAAGAGAAAGAGAGAGAGAGGGAGGGAGGGAGGGAGGGAGGGAGGGAGGGAGGGAGGGAGGAAAGAAGGAAGGAAGGAAGGAAGGAAGGAAGGAAGGAAGGAAGGAAGGAAGGAAGGAAGAACAACAGUAAAACCUGCACCAGGUUUGGAGUGCUUAUUUAUUCAACCAGUCAAGCAAAUAUUUCAGAAAUCAUUCAUCUUUCACACCACGAGGGCUUUUACGAAUUUAGAAAAAUAAGCCACCAAAAGAGAACAAAUGAGGGUGCUACCAUUCCUGGUGUUAGCACACCUGUCCUGAGUCCCCGGUGAACCCUCACAGGGUGUCCUUUAAGCCAGGUAUUGUUCUCAGCGCAGAUCCAUUCAGUACUUACUACCAUCCUGAUGACUAGGUCCGGUUCUGAACCACCACCCCUCAGCAUGAGGAACCAAUGUGAGCCUAAGAUCCUAGAAGAAAGGCACACUGUGUUCAACAUUGUACAAGCCAGAGUGAUCGGUGAAACCUCAAAGACUGCGGAGAGUUGGAAUGCUGCAAAUCUAGAGCCAAAAUUAUCUGAGGUAAUACUAGCCCUCGAAACAGCCACUGUGAUUGACAGAACAUUCUUGUAACUGUUACAUAACUCUUCUCGGAAUGUUCACACCUCUAACUUCUACCAACACAAAGGCCGAGAAUGUCCUCAGAUGGCAUCUGAGGCCCACAGCAGAGAGCUCCACACCCUUCCUUGUAACCCAAGUCUGUGUUCCUCGGCCAUAGCCGCUCAGUGUUUGGCUAGUUACUUCCUGUGAAGCAGAGCUGGUUUUACGUCAACACCGGUGAAGGCAGUUACCCAGACACGCUCCAACUCCCACCUCUUGUGGAUCUUAUGCAUUAUUCAAAACGAUGUGUCUCGUACCAGAGAUCGGGGAAGCCUGGAGGCGUGCUCGGUAAAGACGAUAAGCUUUCUGCUGUGCCUCUUGGUUCCUCGGAAGGUUAGAGAAGAGAUCAUCUAGAAGAUGUGGCAUGGUAUGGAAAUUUAAACAAAUUUUUACUUACGGGGUGGGAGAGCUCAGAGGACAACUUAGGGGAGUGGAUUCUCUUUCCACCCUGUGGCUUCCUGGGAUCAAACUCAGGUUAGCAGGCUUGGUGACAAAUGCCUUUGCCUGCUGAGAUCUUUAAUCUUAGUCUAACAUUUGAUGAUGAAAGCUUAUUUUAAAAAUUAAGGAGAUGGUGUGUAGUAAGGCCACUGUAGCUGUCCCUGCAAAAGCCCUCUAUGUGGUGGCCUGGGUCCUCCUACAAAUCUCUUUCCAAGCCGGGCGUGGUGGCACACGCCUUUAAUCCCAGCACUCGGGAGGCAGAGGCUGGCAGAUUUCUGAGUUCGAGGCCAGCCUGGACUAACAAAGUGAGUUCCAGGACAGCCAGGGCUAUACAGAGAAACCCUGUCUCAAAAAAAAAAAAAAAAAAAUCUCUUUCCAGCACCAAGUAUGUCUAAAGUUCAAAAGUUUUCAUAAUAAAAUGUUUUGGGAAAAACUA
Mus musculus (house mouse) is the source of this 3142-nucleotide long non-coding RNA. RefSeq annotates it as predicted gene, 53295. NCBI's taxonomy places the organism in Eukaryota, Metazoa, Chordata, Mammalia, Rodentia, Muridae. The record is from RefSeq and is a predicted model, not a curated record. The transcript has 2 exons.